This is a non-coding RNA of Etheostoma spectabile (orangethroat darter), 589 nucleotides long. The record is from the annotation of a RefSeq genome assembly. NCBI's taxonomy places the organism in Eukaryota, Metazoa, Chordata, Actinopteri, Perciformes, Percidae.
ACCAUCAACAUUACCUUUAUUCAACAUGCUGCCACUGCAGCAUUGGGGGUUUUCUCUGAUGUUUCUCUCCAUCCUCACAGGAGUCAGCUGUGAAGAACUCACUCCAGUAGAGAAAGAAGAGAACAGUUUAGAAGACAGCUCUGUUACUCUGUCCUACAGAUACUCCAGACAAGCAGCUGGUGCUGAUAGAUUCUUCUGGUAUCGACAAUAUCCAGGAAAACCACCAGAGUUCCUCAUCUCUCAUUUAGGGACAGGAGGAAUGCUGACAAGUCCAAUCCCUGGACUGUCUUCUUCAGUGAGUGAGGAUAAAACCAAAAUGGAUCUGAAGAUCUCCUCAGCUAAGCUGUCAGACUCUGCUGUGUACUACUGUGCUCUGCAGCCCACAGUGACAGGAAACACCAAAACUCUGUACAAAAACCUUUGGAGCAGUAACACGAUGGAAGAUGAGAUUACUGCCAGCAGUGCUGAAGUGUUUUCAUCAGAGGCCGUAGUGCUACUCUGUCCUGUACCUAUUCAGUUAAAGCUCAAAAUCUCCAGUGGUUUCGACAGGAUCCUGAUCAGCUCCUCAGUUCCUUCUCCUGAUCACUGA